AAAUGAAUAGACGGGGGCCUGCACACUCUUCUUCCCCUUUGGUUUCCUUCGAUGAUACGCGAGGAACCUUACCCGGGCUCGAACGGUGCAUGAAUAUACGAGAGAUUGUAUAGUCCUUCGGGACAUGUAUCGAGGUGCUGCAUGGUUGUCGUCAGCUCGUGCCGUGAGGUGUCGGCUUAAGUGCCAUAACGAGCGCAACCCUUGUCAUUAGUUGCCAUCAGGUCAAGCUGGGGACUUUAAUGAGACUGCCACCGUAAGGUGUGAGGAAGGGGGGGAUGACGUCAAAUCAGCACGGCCCUUAUGUCCGGGGCGACACACGUGUUACAAUGGGAGGUACAGAGGGCAGCUAUCCGGUGACGGAAUGCUAAUCUCCAAAACCUUUCUCAGUUCGGAUUGGAGUCUGCAACUCGACUCCAUGAAGGUGGAUUCGCUAGUAAUCGCGCAUCAGCCAUGGCGCGGUGAAUACGUUCCCGGGCCUUGUACACACCGCCCGU
Molecule: ribosomal RNA, 494 nt
Filed under: uncultured bacterium
Lineage: Bacteria
Description: bacterial SSU rRNA
Rfam family: Bacterial small subunit ribosomal RNA
Source: RNAcentral